Molecule: ribosomal RNA, 339 nt
Filed under: uncultured bacterium
Lineage: Bacteria
Description: bacterial SSU rRNA
Rfam family: Archaeal small subunit ribosomal RNA
Source: RNAcentral
UGUGCCAGCAGCCGCGGUAAUACCAGCACCCCGAGUGGUCGGGACGAUUAUUGGGCCUAAAGCAUCCGUAGCCGGUUUUACAAGUCCUCCGUUAAAUCCAACUGCUUAACAGAUGGGCCGCGGAGGAUACUAUAAGACUAGGAGGCAGGAGAGGCAAGCGGUACUCAGUGGGUAGGGGUAAAAUCCGUUGAUCCAUUGAAGACCACCAGUGGCGAAGGCGGCUUGCCAGAAUGCGCUCGACGGUGAGGGAUGAAAGCUGGGGGAACAAACCGGAUUAGAUACCCGGGUAGUCCCAGCUGUAAACGAUGCAGACUCGGUGAUGGACUAUCUUUAUGCUAC